CAGUCGCAGGGUAACGUGAGGGAAGCUUGCUUCCCUUGACGACGACUGGCGCACCGUUGAGUAACGCGUAUCCAACCUUCCCAUGACCACGGGAUAACCCGUUGAAAGACGGACUAAUACCGUAUGACGUCGUUUGCUGACAUCAAAUAACGAUUAAAGGUUUGGCGGUGAUGGAUGGGGAUGCGUCUGAUUAGCUUGUUGGCGGGGUAACGGCCCACCAAGGCGACGAUCAGUAGGGGUUCUGAGAGGAAGGUCCCCCACAUUGGAACUGAGACACGGUCCAAACUCCUACGGGAGGCAGCAGUGAGGAAUAUUGGUCAAUGGGCGAGAGCCUGAACCAGCCAAGUAGCGUGCAGGAUGACGGCCCUAUGGGUUGUAAACUGCUUUUAUGCGGGGAUAAAGUGCGCGACGUGUCGUGCAUUGCAGGUACCGCAUGAAUAAGGACCGGCUAAUUCCGUGCCAGCAGCCGCGGUAAUACGGAAGGUCCGGGCGUUAUCCGGAUUUAUUGGGUUUAAAGGGAGCGUAGGCCGCCAGGUAAGCGUGUUGUGAAAUGUACCGGCUCAACCGGUGAAUUGCAGCGCGAACUGUCUGGCUUGAGUGCACGGUAAGCAGGCGGAAUUCAUGGUGUAGCGGUGAAAUGCUUAGAUAUCAUGAAGAACUCCGAUUGCGAAGGCAGCUUGCUGCAGUGCGACUGACGCUGAUGCUCGAAGGUGCGGGUAUCAAACAGGAUUAGAUACCCUGGUAGUCCGCACGGUAAACGAUGGAUGCCCGCU
Molecule: ribosomal RNA, 773 nt
Filed under: uncultured bacterium
Lineage: Bacteria
Description: bacterial SSU rRNA
Rfam family: Bacterial small subunit ribosomal RNA
Source: RNAcentral